AACACAUUUAAAAGGUUUAACAUUAAAUGUCCUAGAGAAGUAAAGUAGUUUUCUGUUCACCCUUUGCAAGUAAAAAGGGUAGAUCAUUCCACUACUGACAUGU
Molecule: non-coding RNA, 103 nt
Organism: Molossus molossus (Pallas's mastiff bat)
Lineage: Eukaryota; Metazoa; Chordata; Mammalia; Chiroptera; Molossidae
Product: small Cajal body-specific RNA 24
Exons: 1
Source: RefSeq, a predicted model, not a curated record